GGGCCCGUAGCUCAGCCAGGACAGAGCGCCGGCCUUCUAAGCCGGUGGUCCCGGGUUCAAAUCCCGGCGGGCCCGCCA
RNAcentral lists this transfer RNA (78 nucleotides) under Aeropyrum pernix K1. RNAcentral describes it as "tRNA-Arg (TCT) (tRNA-Arg-TCT-1-1)". It matches the Rfam family "tRNA". Rfam says of the family: Transfer RNA (tRNA) molecules are approximately 80 nucleotides in length. Their secondary structure includes four short double-helical elements and three loops (D, anti-codon, and T loops). Lineage: Archaea; Thermoproteati; Thermoproteota; Thermoprotei; Acidilobales; Acidilobaceae. RNAcentral also lists the same sequence under 4 other names. The record is from RNAcentral.